Molecule: ribosomal RNA, 513 nt
Filed under: uncultured bacterium
Lineage: Bacteria
Description: partial 16S ribosomal RNA
Rfam family: Bacterial small subunit ribosomal RNA
Source: RNAcentral
GACGAACGCUGGCGGCGUGCUUAACACAUGCAAGUCGAACGAGAGCGUAGAGAAAGCUUGCUUUUUCUACAAUCUAGUGGCAAACGGGUGAGUAACGCGUAAACAACCUGCCCUACGGAUGGGGACAACAGCUGGAAACGGCUGCUAAUACCGAAUACGUUCCGAAAGUCGCAUGACUAUCGGAAGAAAGGAUGGCCUCUAUUUAUAAGCUAUCGCCGGAGGAGGGGUUUGCGUCUGAUUAGCUAGUUGGAGGGGUAACGGCCCACCAAGGCGACGAUCAGUAGCCGGUCUGGGAGGAUGAACGGCCACAUUGGAACGGAGGCACGGUCCAGACUCCUACGGGAGGCAGCAGUGGGGAAUCUUCCGCAAUGGGCGAAAGCCUGACGGAGCAACGCCGCGUGAGUGAAGACGGCCUUCGGGUUGUAAAGCUCUGUUAUACGGGACGAAUAAUCUUGUGGUUAAUACCCAUGAGAAGUGACGGUACCGUAAGAGAAAGCCACGGCUAACUACGUG